CCGAAUUCGUCGACAACAGAGUUUGAUCAUGGCUCAGAUUGAACGCUGGCGGCAGGCCUAACACAUGCAAGUCGAACGGUAACAGGAAGAAGCUUGCUUCUUUGCUGACGAGUGGCGGACGGGUGAGUAAUGUCUGGGAAACUGCCUGAUGGAGGGGGAUAACUACUGGAAACGGUAGCUAAUACCGCAUAACGUCGCAAGACCAAAGAGGGGGACCUUCGGGCCUCUUGCCAUCGGAUGUGCCCAGAUGGGAUUAGCUAGUAGGUGGGGUAACGGCUCACCUAGGCGACGAUCCCUAGCUGGUCUGAGAGGAUGACCAGCCACACUGGAACUGAGACACGGUCCAGACUCCUACGGGAGGCAGCAGUGGGGAAUAUUGCACAAUGGGCGCAAGCCUGAUGCAGCCAUGCCGCGUGUAUGAAGAAGGCCUUCGGGUUGUAAAGUACUUUUCAGCGGGGAGGAAGGGAGUAAAGUUAAUACCUUUGCUCAUUGACGUUACCCGCAGAAGAAGCACCGGCUAACUCCGUGCCAGCAGCCGCGGUAAUACGGAGGGUGCAAGCGUUAAUCGGAAUUACUGGGCGUAAAGCGCACGCAGGCGGUUUGUUAAGUCAGAUGUGAAAUCCCCGGGCUCAACCUGGGAACUGCAUCUGAUACUGGCAAGCUUGAGUCUCGUAGAGGGGGGUAGAAUUCCAGGUGUAGCGGUGAAAUGCGUAGAGAUCUGGAGGAAUACCGGUGGCGAAGGCGGCCCCCUGGACGAAGACUGACGCUCAGGUGCGAAAGCGUGGGGAGCAAACAGGAUUAGAUACCCUGKUAGUCCACGCCGUAAACGAUGUCGACUUGGAGGUUGUGCCCUUGAGGCGUGGCUUCCGGAGCUAACGCGUUAAGUCGACCGCCUGGGGAGUACGGCCGCAAGGUUAAAACUCAAAUGAAUUGACGGGGGCCCGCACAAGCGGUGGAGCAUGUGGUUUAAUUCGAUGCAACGCGAAGAACCUUACCUGGUCUUGACAUCCACAGAACUUUCCAGAGAUGGAUUGGUGCCUUCGGGAACUGUGAGACAGGUGCUGCAUGGCUGUCGUCAGCUCGUGUUGUGAAAUGUUGGGUUAAGUCCCGCAACGAGCGCAACCCUUAUCCUUUGUUGCCAGCGGUCCGGCCGGGAACUCAAAGGAGACUGCCAGUGAUAAACUGGAGGAAGGUGGGGAUGACGUCAAGUCAUCAUGGCCCUUACGACCAGGGCUACACACGUGCUACAAUGGCGCAUACAAAGAGAAGCGACCUCGCGAGAGCAAGCGGACCUCAUAAAGUGCGUCGUAGUCCGGAUUGGAGUCUGCAACUCGACUCCAUGAAGUCGGAAUCGCUAGUAAUCGUGGAUCAGAAUGCCACGGUGAAUACGUUCCCGGGCCUCGUACACACCGCCCGUCACACCAUGGGAGUGAGUUGCAAAAGAAGUAGGUAGCUUAACCUUCGGGAGGGCGCUUACCACUUUGUGAUUCAUGACUGGGGUGAAGUCGUAACAAGGUAACCGUAAGCUUGGAUCCCGGG
This 1539-nucleotide ribosomal RNA is filed under the name Escherichia coli. RNAcentral's name for it is "bacterial SSU rRNA". It matches the Rfam family "Bacterial small subunit ribosomal RNA". The record is from RNAcentral. Lineage: Bacteria; Pseudomonadati; Pseudomonadota; Gammaproteobacteria; Enterobacterales; Enterobacteriaceae.